Long non-coding RNA from Cygnus olor (mute swan), 5721 nucleotides. RefSeq lists it as uncharacterized. Lineage: Eukaryota; Metazoa; Chordata; Aves; Anseriformes; Anatidae. The record is from RefSeq and is a predicted model, not a curated record. The transcript has 4 exons.
CACUGUUUCUGAGCUACAAGGCGAUUAAAACCGCGUCUGCGGGGUCUCCCUCGGCAGCGAGGAAGGCGAGGGCGGCGGGGCGGGCGGCGGGCUGACGGGACAGGUGCCGGCUUCCUGGCGGCGCGGGGCCGCCGAUGGCGGGCGGGAGGGCGCCGCCGCCAUUUUGCGGCGCUAAUCCUCGGCGGCCGGCCGUGCCCGGGGCUGGCGGAGCACGGGCUGCUGCCGGCGCCGCGCUGGUUUCCGCGGGUUGGUUUCACAGCGAGCGUUUUGUGCUUAAUUUACGCGGCCGCCUGUGGCGUUCAGAGCAUUAGGCAAGUUGUUUGUAGGGAAGCACUGCAAAUUUAAAGCGGUGAGGAAAUCCAGCGAUUCCCUAUAUCCGAGCCCUGUUUCUGUGAUCAUCAGUGCGGUUUGGUCCACAACAUUUAGUGUUCCUUUUAAGCCUAACAAAGGAAUUUAUUUGCCUUACUCUCCUUCAAAGCCUUUCUCACAAGAGGAAAGAGAAAGCAUCUGUGGAGAAAUGGAACUCAGUACAGUAACUUCUGCAACUCUCCACUAAAAAGGAGAGAGAUGAGCUUUGAGUGGAGUUAGACAGGGGAAGGAGCCCAUUUUUGGAGGCCUGUGGCAUCUGCCUGCUGCUCAAAGUCUGACCAGGACAGGGAUAAGCCUGGCAGAACUCAUUUGAUUCUCAAGCUGUGCAUAUGCACCAAAGAAAGAACAAGUCUUUCCCUAAGAGUGUUCGAAGCUUGAAGCUGACCACUGCAAAGGCCACUUGUCACAUUUACUGAAAAUCAGCCUAUUGAUAUCACAGCUGAAAAUAUAAACUCGACAACCAAAGCCCAUUGCACAACGUGGACUGCGUAAGAGUUAAAAAUAGAUGCGACGUGCCUCCUACCUGCAUAAUAAAUAUUCCCUCAAAAUCCUGAGCAGUAUUGACAAACCACACAAGCACAGGGUCUGACUGCAUGAUCAGCUGUCUGUGUCUACGCUACACCCUGUUAACCACAAGCAGUGUUAGAGCUAAUAUAUCUGCAAUGCAGAAACGGUAGGUGCUGUGCUAUACAGUUCUGAUUAAUUAUAAAAUAUUCCUCUAUCCUCAGAUAUAUAAAAAAAAAAAAUUGGUGGUGAUCUCCUUCAGGCACGGUAUCUGUCAGAUUUACAAAACAUAAAAGCUACCCUAAGUAUACUGACCUAGAUAGCACUAAGAAGACUUAAGCAGCAUACAAGCAUACUCACUGUCAAAGCAAGGAAAACGAAACAAUGAUUGUCUAACCAAACUGAAAGCAACAGCUCACUACCACAGUAUGAAUUCCAAAAUGCUACAUACAGUAUAUGCACAUCUCAUGUUAUUGGGAGAUGCAAAGCUCCUUUGUUUUUUUUUUUUUUUUUUUUUUUUUUUUUUUUUUUUCCCUUCUCAGAGGCUUUUCUUAGCUACGGUUGCACAAUGACAUUCUGACAUCAUGGAGGUCAAUGCAGCUACUAAAGUGCUCUCGUCUUUUUUUUUCUUAAAAAAAAAAAAGAUUUUGAAAUAUUAAACCAUAGCUGAAAUAAUAAUAAUAAAAUCUGCAUCAUCUACUUAACAUCUUUCUUUUACCUUCUGAGAUUAAUGCCACAUGCACAUUGUUCUGCUGAAUAUGUUAAAUUGGUAUCACCCUCUGCAGAGAUUGCAUGAGUGUAAUUGUGGGAAUUAGAUUUUUGCAGAUAAGUAGAAGUGUUAAAAAGGCUUAUUUUUUGGAAAAUUUCAAAAUACAAUGAAACAUUUCAAGUAUAUAAUGAAAAAAAUGCAGAGAAAAAAAUAAAACUGCUUAUUGGAUUUUUUUAAAUGCCUAAUAAACAAAGCUGUUUUUAUUUUCCUUGUCACUAUGUCUCCAAAGGGAGAAUGAAAGUACCAUGCCACAAUUUACUAUGACCUGAAUUAUUUUCCCAGAAGGCUAAACCAUCAUUUGAGGUAAAACAAACCGUAAGACCCAUCUAUAGAGCAAAGUGCCCCACCCCACUUCCAGUGACUUCUCAUAGCUUCCUUCCCUCUACCCCAAAUACCCCAAGCAAAUAUGCAACACUGACCAGAACUGCAAACAUUAAAGUUAACUGUGAAAAUAUUUCACAAAAAAAGGUUUCUUUAGGCAAAUGUUGUUUGCUGUAUGUAUAAGUGAAUAUAAAUGCUUUCUGACCAGCUGCUGAAAUAGACAGAUACUUGUGAGGCCAGAUUUCAUACAGAGAGGCACUAUCUUUCAUCAGACCUGCCAAUACAGCUGAGAAAAAGCAAGUCGCCAAAUUUUCAGGCACAUAUUCUCAUAUUCUUACUUAUGAAUCUGUGUGCCCUAUGAUUUUUUUUUCCUAAAAAAAUGUCUGUUUUUUUUUUUAACAGUGAAAACUAUUGUUAAGUAUUGGAUUAAAUAAGAAAACCACAGCAACAACAAAAGAUUGUUGUGAUACGUACAUAUUGGAUUUGAAUUAGCUUCUUAUAAAAAUAGACGAUCUUGUUUGUUUCCUCUUCUUUCUUUUUUUAAUGAUUAAUAUAGAUAUGUAUUCAGAGAUUUUUCUUUGGAAAAUUAUUUGGCAUUUUAUUCUCUCUCUUUUUACAGUCUGGGAAGGAGAUGAUCCUAACAGUCAGUGCUUUAAAAUAUUCAGAAUCCCCUUCCAUAAAUAGCACAUCUGUCACACAGAAAGGGAACCCAGCCAGCAGAAAGGGAGACUAGACCAACAAAAACAACUGCUAUUCCUAUACAUGAUUACAAAAUAAGUUAGGAUUUAAGUAAUCCUUUAUUUGGAUUUUUUGGUUUGAGCUUUUUAAAUUAAGCUGUCUGUCAGCUGAGCAUGCCAGUGUAUGUUGGCUUAAAAUUAAAAAGAUUGUUAAGUAUGGAAACAUUUUGAGUUUUUUUAAACGUUCAUCUCUUAGUCAAAUAAGACUAUUGGGCCUGACACCCUGUUUAAAACCAUGGCAGAGCUCCUAUAAAUUUCAUGAAGUGAAGUUUUGGAUCUUAUUUAGCAGUCUGUUAGGUUUACGAAUAUUUCAUUACAAUUUGGGAACUAAGUGGUAGGUUUGCUUAAAGAUAAUGGUUUUCAGCAAAAGACAGAUUAGAGCAGCAUCUCAAUAAAUAUAUCUGUUCCUUCAUUCUAGGCGUCAGUGUUCUUAUUCUCCCAGAAAAGUAAUUUUCUGCUAAGGAUACAAGUCAUUUGUGUUGUGUGAUUUAGGGAAUAGCAAAAGCCUGCCAGCAGCGAACACAGCAGAGGAAUCUCACAGUGAACAGGGGAGUGACCUUGUCCAAAUCUUUAUGCAUACCUCUUAUUUCAAUGGGCCAUUUUCAGUGCUCCAGGCUUAUAAUAUUCCAGGCUUAAAUUUGCAAGAAUUUUACUUCAGAUUCUACAUAAUUUUAGUUCAGAAAUCAGAUUCUAGGCCCUUCGUCACUUCAUAAAUAAAUCCCCAAAAAAUUGCUUAUAGGUUGCACACAGUAGGCCUGAUGUUCAAGGUAGAGAUAUAUUCUCAAGGUAGAGAUAUAUUUCUCAGGCAGAAGCUUGGAUUUAAGCUCCAGCCUUAUUUGUGCCAAAACUGUUACAGACCCAAGACUAGGCACUGGCUUUCCUGAUUCUUGACUUCAGAAUUCCCUGCCUUUGCUGGGUCAGGAAUAUGUCAGCCCAUGCCAUGAGAUUGUGUCAGUUCUUUAUUCAAUCAGCUUAGAGUGAGGCUAUUUCAAGUAUCCUCACUGGAUCCUACAGGCUGUUUGCGCUGUGAACGUUUUCCACUUUAAAGCUUCCUACUUGUAAACAUGCUUCCUCUUCCUCUAUUUAUCACCACUCUAGAGCAACAACAUUUAAUCUCCCCUUGCACAUGAUAGUUUAUCUAAAUUGGUGAGGAAUGAAGAGUCCCAAUGUCACUUUGUAUUACAACCUCCACUUUGUGGUAUACCAGUUUUCAGAGAAGGGUCCUAAUCCUCUGUAUAGAUCAUUCGGGUAGCAGGAGCAAAAGUCCCUGAACAGUACUGAUUUUUGUCUGAAAGUAUUGCCACACUGCGUUAUCUUAAGAAGGAAAUACGUGAGUGCAGUCUGGUAGACUGGGAACUAUGCCAAGGACCAACCUUAGAGAGAUAAGGUUGGAAGAAGACUAGCAGGGGAAAAAAAUAUAUCCAUUCAGUUUUAUAUGGAUUGUCUCACUUCUGUUUUUAUUCAACAUGGACCCGUGCUGGACCAAAAGAAUAAAUUGUCCCUCUAGCUAUAGAGGACACCCUGGAUGUGAGAGUUAUGCUCAAUAUAAUGAAUGAAUAGACCUAUGUACAGGUGGGUUCAUUCCCAUUUCAGUACUUAGUGUUUUUUUUAAUUUAAACUGUUUGUCAAAUAAAUGAGCAAUGCAAAACAAAGGAUAGAAUCAAUCCCAGUCUCAAGAAACUGUAGUCACUGCUCUGUGAUACCAUCCCUGCAAAGCAGUGACAAGGGGACAUGAAGCACAGCUGGGAAUGCAGGGUGGGGGUUUUCGAAAGUGCAUACCAGUACUGUCUACAGUCUUUCAACAAACCUGCUCUUGGAAUAACUCUUUCAGCCUCUUAAUUUAGCUGCAUUAAUUACAUUUGUCUCUUCAUUCCACUAAUGUUACUGAAAAAAAAAGAAAAGAAAGAAACAAAAAGAAAAAAAAAAAAAAAGAAAAAAACCCUAUUGAUGAAUAGUAAGUUUGAAGUUCAGAUUACGGAACCUGAAAUCUGCCUUUCUAGAGCCACAGGCAAGCAAUUUGUGUAAGCACGUAGCAAAAUUUGCCCCAAGACUAAUACAGAUUAAAUCAUUUGUGUGCUGACAGUUUUCCCAGACUUUACCACAGUUCCUUCUGUGUCUCUAUAUGGCUGGACAAAUUCUUCCCUUAUUUGCUUGGACAAAAACCAGUUGUUUGCAGUUAUUCCAAUACAUGCUUUACAGACUUCAAUUUUUGAUUGCCAUACACACAUAAACAGGCCAUGAAAAAUAAUGCUUAAGUGAUCUGGGCAGAAGAGAGUUCAAACUCCUGGUAUCCCUGUUUAGAUGGCGAUGUUUUUCAGCACUGCUGAAUUAAAUGAGGAGCAGCAUAGGAAUGCAAUUGUUUUUUUAAAAAAAUAAAUAAAUAUUGAGAUUCUACAAAAAUAGCAGAUAUCUGAGUACUAUAUUCUGAUAUACUGCAUUGUAUCAAUGUGUUCUGAAUCUGUAUGAAUUAGGAAAAAGUGUGGACUUACCUAAACUGAAGAAUCACAGACCAGUCACAUAUUAAGAUAUAUGGAGGUGCUGUCUAUGCUUUUUUGUGAAGCACUUCUAACAGCCACUUACAGUCUAGUACUCUAUAAACUAUAGAAUAAUCUUUAAGGAUUAAAACACCCAGGAUUCACUGUAAACAAGUGAUAAAAGGCAUUUCUUUAAAACCUAAAUCUAUCUGAAGAAUCUGAAGUGAUGACUUUACAGGUUGUAUUUUUGUAUUCUCUGUGUAACAUGACACUCAAAAUGGUUAGCAAUAACAAGUGGCUUUGUCUUACUUUUUCUCUGAAUAGAGCUUUAAUUACCUCUAUUGAUGAGCAUGGUGUCUCCCUCUAAUUAUGCCUCCUAAGACCCUGUUUGCUUUCUGAACUGCUGCCAGACACUAUGCCAAAGGUUUCAAAUUUCUGACUUGUAUCACUCCUGACUAAUUUACCUGAUUAAUGAACUUAGAUAUUGAAGAUUUUUUUUUUACUCUGUCCAUAUCUUUUUUUCUCCGUUUUAAAUGGUGCAAAUCAC